Peromyscus eremicus (cactus mouse) is the source of this 587-nucleotide long non-coding RNA. RefSeq lists it as uncharacterized. The transcript is spliced from 2 exons. The record is from RefSeq and is a predicted model, not a curated record. Lineage: Eukaryota; Metazoa; Chordata; Mammalia; Rodentia; Cricetidae.
GUUGUCGCCACCAACGGCCUGCCACUCUAGGGAGCAGCUCCUGGUAACCCGGGAUGAAGUUCUCAGAGCAGCUGGUGGAGGCCACCGGGCUAGGGAGGUAACUUCCCCAGGGCCGUGGAAAAGAUCAGUGUCUGGGGACCCGAUUCUGGGCGGUGCCACAAGCCACGCCAAACCCGAAGUGAAACAAAAAGCUCUUUUAUGUGACAUAAGCUGUCAGAAGAAUUGAAUUGUGAUGGGGUCUGAAAAUACAGAUGGCCAGUUCCACAACUAGAGUGAGUGCAAGACAAUGCAACAUACUGUGGUCCAUGCAUGCACCACAGCAUCACCCGGGAGCUGCUUACUGAACCACACUUGCUGCUCCUAGUCAGAUCUGCCAACAGAUUCCACACAAAUGCAGACUAGAAACUGUGAAGACCGCUCCAUCCUGAAGAGCUUCUAAUCUGUGGAACCCCAGAGUUAUUAACAUUAUCGGGAACACUCUCAACCUUCCAACUGUAUAUACAAUGCAAAGAGAUCUAGUUUGUCAUCAUCCUAUACUAUGGACUGUCGAUUUGAGUAAAGAAUGUUUAUCAUCUGUCUUUCCACAA